RNAcentral lists this ribosomal RNA (457 nucleotides) under uncultured bacterium. RNAcentral describes it as "bacterial SSU rRNA". It matches the Rfam family "Bacterial small subunit ribosomal RNA", at positions 28 to 507 of the family's 1533-position model. The record is from RNAcentral.
GGUGAACGCUGGCGGCGUGCCUAACACAUGCAAGUCGAGCGGUGCAGUUUGGAGCUUCGGUGGAAAGCUGCAUAGCGGCGGACGGGUGAGGAAAACGUAGGAACGUGCCCCUUGGAGUUGGAUAGCCACGGGAAACUGGUGGGUAAACCGACAUAGACUCCGAGAGAGUAAAGGCCGAAAGGCGCCAAGGGAGCGGCCUGCGGCCCAUCAGGUAGUUGGUAGUGUAAAGGACUACCAAGCCGACGACGGGUAGCCGGUCUGAGAGGAUGGCCGGCCACAAGGGCACUGAGAGACGGGCCCUACUCCUACGGGAGGCAGCAGUGGGGGAUUUUGGACAAUGGGCGAAAGCCUGAUCCAGCGACGCCGCGUGGAGGACGAAGCCCUUCGGGGUGUAAACUCCUUUUCUCAGGGAAAAAGGAUGAUGGUACCUGAGGAAUAAGCCCCGGCUAACUACGUG